RNAcentral lists this small RNA (29 nucleotides) under Bombyx mori (domestic silkworm). Its description in RNAcentral is "ovarian small RNA-11936". The record is from RNAcentral. Lineage: Eukaryota; Metazoa; Arthropoda; Insecta; Lepidoptera; Bombycidae.
AGAGGGGGCUGAGAUGUGCCCGAGAUGGC